UGGGUAACCUGCCCAAGAGAUCGGGAUAACACCUGGAAACAGAUGCUAAUACCGGAUAACAACAGAUGAUGCCUAUCAACUGUUUAAAAGAUGGUUCUGCUAUCACUCUUGGAUGGACCUGCGGUUCAUUAGCUAGUUGGUAGGGUAACGGCCUACCAAGGCGAUGAUGCAUAGCCGAGUUGAGAGACUGAUCGGCCACAUUGGUACUUAGACACGGCCCAAACUCCUACGGGAGGCAGCAGUC
This 244-nucleotide ribosomal RNA is filed under the name uncultured Lactobacillus sp. RNAcentral's name for it is "partial 16S ribosomal RNA". It matches the Rfam family "Bacterial small subunit ribosomal RNA", at positions 118 to 355 of the family's 1533-position model. Lineage: Bacteria; Bacillati; Bacillota; Bacilli; Lactobacillales; Lactobacillaceae. The record is from RNAcentral.